Molecule: ribosomal RNA, 1368 nt
Filed under: uncultured bacterium
Lineage: Bacteria
Description: bacterial SSU rRNA
Rfam family: Bacterial small subunit ribosomal RNA
Source: RNAcentral
AGAGUUUGAUCCUGGCUCAGAACGAACGCUGGCGGCGUGGAUAAGACAUGCAAGUCGAACGAGAGAAUUGCUAGCUUGCUAAUAAUUCUCUAGUGGCGCACGGGUGAGUAACACGUGAGUAACCUGCCCCCGAGAGCGGGAUAGCCCUGGGAAACUGGGAUUAAUACCGCAUAGUAUCGAAAGAUUAAAGCAGCAAUGCGCUUGGGGAUGGGCUCGCGGCCUAUUAGUUAGUUGGUGAGGUAACGGCUCACCAAGGCGAUGACGGGUAGCCGGUCUGAGAGGAUGUCCGGCCACACUGGAACUGAGACACGGUCCAGACACCUACGGGUGGCAGCAGUCGAGAAUCAUUCACAAUGGGGGAAACCCUGAUGGUGCGACGCCGCGUGGGGGAAUGAAGGUCUUCGGAUUGUAAACCCCUGUCAUGUGGGAGCAAAUUAAAAAGAUAGUACCACAAGAGGAAGAGACGGCUAACUCUGUGCCAGCAGCCGCGGUAAUACAGAGGUCUCAAGCGUUGUUCGGAAUCACUGGGCGUAAAGCGUGCGUAGGCUGUUUCGUAAGUCGUGUGUGAAAGGCGCGGGCUCAACCCGUGGACGGCACAUGAUACUGCGAGACUAGAGUAAUGGAGGGGGAACCGGAAUUCUCGGUGUAGCAGUGAAAUGCGUAGAUAUCGAGAGGAACACUCGUGGCGAAGGCGGGUUCCUGGACAUUAACUGACGCUGAGGCACGAAGGCCAGGGGAGCGAAAGGGGAUUAGAUACCCCUGUAGUCCUGGCAGUAAACGGUGCACGCUUGGUGUGCGGGGAAUCGACCCCCUGCGUGCCGGAGCUAACGCGUUAAGCGUGCCGCCUGGGGAGUACGGUCGCAAGAUUAAAACUCAAAGAAAUUGACGGGGACCCGCACAAGCGGUGGAGUAUGUGGCUUAAUUCGAUGCAACGCGAAGAACCUUACCUGGGCUUGACAUGUAAUGAACAACAUGUGAAAGCAUGCGACUCUUCGGAGGCGUUACACAGGUGCUGCAUGGCCGUCGUCAGCUCGUGUCGUGAGAUGUUUGGUUAAGUCCAGCAACGAGCGCAACCCCUGUUACCAGUUACCAGCACGUGAAGGUGGGGACUCUGGCGAGACUGCCCAGAUCAACUGGGAGGAAGGUGGGGACGACGUCAGGUCAGUAUGGCCCUUAUGCCCAGGGCUGCACACGUACUACAAUGCCCAGUACAGAGGGGGCCGAAGCCGCGAGGCGGAGGAAAUCCUGAAAACUGGGCCCAGUUCGGACUGUAGGCUGCAACCCGCCUACACGAAGCCGGAAUCGCUAGUAAUGGCGCAUCAGCUACGGCGCCGUGAAUACGUUCCCGGGUCUUGCACACACCGCCCG